GUGGGGAAUAUUGGACAAUGGGCGAAAGCCUGAUCCAGCCAUGCCGCGUGUGUGAAGAAGGUCUUCGGAUUGUAAAGCACUUUAAGUUGGGAGGAAGGGCAGUAAGUUAAUACCUUGCUGUUUUGACGUUACCGACAGAAUAAGCACCGGCUAACUUCGUGCCAGCAGCCGCGGUAAUACAGAGGGUGCGAGCGUUAAUCGGAUUUACUGGGCGUAAAGCGCGCGUAGGUGGUUGUGUAAGUUGGAGGUGAAAUCCCCGGGCUCAACCUGGGAACUGCCUCCAAAACUGCAUGACUAGAGUACGGUAGAGGGUAGUGGAAUUUCCUGUGUAGCGGUGAAAUGCGUAGAUAUAGGAAGGAACACCAGUGGCGAAGGCGACUACCUGGACUGAUACUGACACUGAGGUGCGAAAGCGUGGGGAGCAAACAGGAUUAGAAACCCUGGUAGUCC
Molecule: ribosomal RNA, 450 nt
Filed under: uncultured bacterium
Lineage: Bacteria
Description: partial 16S ribosomal RNA
Rfam family: Bacterial small subunit ribosomal RNA
Source: RNAcentral